This 478-nucleotide ribosomal RNA is filed under the name uncultured bacterium. RNAcentral's name for it is "partial 16S ribosomal RNA". It matches the Rfam family "Bacterial small subunit ribosomal RNA", at positions 28 to 507 of the family's 1533-position model. The record is from RNAcentral.
GAUGAACGCUGGCGGCGUGCUUAACACAUGCAAGUCGAACGGGAAACCUUUUAAUGAAGCUUCGGCAGAUUUAGCUGGUUUCUAGUGGCGGACGGGUGAGUAACGCGUGGGUAACCUGUCUUAUACAGGGGGAUAACAGUCAGAAAUGACUGCUAAUACCGCAUAAGCGCACAGGACCGCAUUGUCCGGUGUGAAAAACUCCGGUGGUAUAAGAUGGACCCGCGUUGGAUUAGCUUGUUGGUAGGGUAACGGCUCACCAAGGCGACGAUCCAUAGCCGGCAUGAGAGGGUGAACGGACACAUUGGGACUGAGACACGGCCCAGACGCCUACGGGGGGCAGCAGUGGGGAAUAUUGCACAAUGGGGGAAACACUGAUGCAGCGACGCCGCGUGAAGGAAGAAGUAUCUCGGUAUGUAAACUUCUAUCAGCAGGGAAGAUAGUGACGGUACCUGACUAAGAAGCCCCGGCUAACUACGUG